RNAcentral lists this non-coding RNA (22 nucleotides) under Arabidopsis thaliana (thale cress). Lineage: Eukaryota; Viridiplantae; Streptophyta; Magnoliopsida; Brassicales; Brassicaceae. The record is from RNAcentral.
UCCCCUUGUACGCUAAUUUCAG